UACGUAGGGGGCAAGCGUUGUCCGGAUUUAUUGGGCGUAAAGAGCGUGUAGGCGGCCAUACAGGUCAGCUGUGAAAACUCGAGGCUCAACCUCGAGACGCCGAUGGAAACCAUGUGGCUAGAGUCCGGAAGAGGAGAGUGGAAUUCCUGGUGUAGCGGUGAAAUGCGCAGAUAUCAGGAAGAACACCCGUGGCUAAGGCGGCUCUCUAGUACGGUACUGACGCUGAGACGCGAAAGCGUGGGGAGCAAACAGG
This 253-nucleotide ribosomal RNA is filed under the name uncultured bacterium. Its description in RNAcentral is "partial 16S ribosomal RNA". It matches the Rfam family "Bacterial small subunit ribosomal RNA", at positions 524 to 776 of the family's 1533-position model. The record is from RNAcentral.